Molecule: ribosomal RNA, 245 nt
Filed under: uncultured Lachnospiraceae bacterium
Lineage: Bacteria; Bacillati; Bacillota; Clostridia; Lachnospirales; Lachnospiraceae
Description: partial 16S ribosomal RNA
Rfam family: Bacterial small subunit ribosomal RNA
Source: RNAcentral
UACGUAGGUGGCAAGCGUUAUCCGGAUUUACUGGGUGUAAAGGGUGUGUAGGCGGGCAGGCAAGUCAGAUGUGAAAUCUUGUGGCUCAACCACAAGACUGCGUCUGAAACUGCAGGUCUUGAGUGUCGGAGGGGUAGAUGGAAUUUCCAGUGUAGCGGUGAAAUGCGUAGAUAUUGGAAAGAACACCGGUGGCGAAGGCGAUCUACUGGACGAUAACUGACGCUGAUACACGAAAGUGUGGGGAG